Hypomesus transpacificus is the source of this 939-nucleotide long non-coding RNA. RefSeq lists it as uncharacterized. The transcript has 3 exons. Lineage: Eukaryota; Metazoa; Chordata; Actinopteri; Osmeriformes; Osmeridae. The record is from RefSeq and is a predicted model, not a curated record.
AUAAAGAAGAAUUAACAGCGUGCGCAUCGAUUCUCUUCAGCGAGGUCAGGUAUCCCACCAUAUACAGCAUUUGAUACGUUUUUCAUAGUUCUCAGCAGUCAACAUGAAAUCCAUAAGCCCGGUGCGGUCAAUGAGAAACAACAUGUCGAAUUCGUCGGAACACAUCCUCGGGAUAUCUCGGAGCAAGAGCCCGAUGGAUGAUCCACUGAGCCUGCUGUACAACAUGAACGACUGCUACACCAUGCUGAAGGAACUCGUCCCCAGCCUCCCACAGAACAAGAACGUCAGUAAAAUGGAGAUUCUGCAGCAUGUGAUUGACUAUAUUUUGGACCUUCAAAUUGCACUUGACUCCAGCGCAUCCUUUGUAACCUGCCAAUAUCAGCAACGGCUGGGACAGACGGCGUCCAGGAAUCCUCCGUCCACCGCUGUCACCUCAGAUAUCAGCAUCCUUACCUGCGAGUCAAAUGACCUGCCCAGGGAAACAGACGCAGAUGUGGACAGCAGCACGCUCCUGCGCUGACUCAGUGUUCAAAACAAGACCUCAUGUUCCCUUCACUGGCUGUAGGAAUUUUUCUUCACCCCCCCCCCCCCUAAAAGGAGAUAUGUGGUAUAGUUUUAAAGUCGAUUUUAUUCCACUGGGUUGACACUGGGAACACAGAAAGUGACUGAAAGGACAGUACGGAAACAAGAUAUUUUGACAAGAGGACUUAAUCUUUUCUUCGUGAAAGUGGGAAAAGAAAACAGGAAAGCUGUAUAUCCCCUGUUCUGGCGGACUGUGGAUGCUGUAACAUAUAAGUAGACAGAAAUCAUGCCUGUAUAGUAACAUAUUUGUGGCAGAGAGUAUAUAAUCUUGCAGUUUAUUGUGUUGCGUUUUUGAAAGAUGUUGUAAAUUGCACUUUUAUACAAUAAUAAAUUAAAUUACUAAUAUGAUUACGACAA